Molecule: unclassified non-coding RNA, 1255 nt
Filed under: Hevea brasiliensis (rubber tree)
Lineage: Eukaryota; Viridiplantae; Streptophyta; Magnoliopsida; Malpighiales; Euphorbiaceae
Source: RNAcentral
GUGCCCCUAGCGGCUCUCCCUAGCUUUUCUGGAAAGAAAAUAACACUAGAUGCUCCAAUGGCCACAGUACACUCUUUUGCCUUCUCCUCCUCUUCUUCUCCUACAUAUCUUGCAAUCCACACUCUCUUCUAACAAUUUUGUUCAAACCCUACAUAUUAAACUAUCCAUUUAAUGGAAUCCCUUCACAUCAGUAUCUUUGCUGUUCUUUCUUGGAUCCCUUUAGCGUUCUUACCGUAAACAGAGCCACCUCUCAGCUCCCAAAUUGAUGCAGAAAAUCGUUCUAUUCUGAUAUUGAAGAAGAAGAAGAAGAAGGAGAAAAGUAUUUGUUUUUAGCCAUGGAAGAGAGGCAUGUGCUGUUUGAAAAGUAUGAGAUGGGGCGGCUUUUGGGGAAGGGGACUUUUGCGAAGGUCUACUAUGGCAAAAACAUGGCAACUGGAGAAAGCGUAGCCAUCAAAGUAAUGAAUAAGGAUCAAGUGAAAAAGGAAGGGACGAUGGAGCAGAUCAAGAGGGAAAUCUCUGUUAUGCGAUUAGUUCGACACCCAAAUAUAGUGGAGCUCAAAGAAGUGUUGGCUACAAAAACCAAGAUAUUCUUCGUUAUGGAGUACGUCCGUGGUGGCGAGCUCUUCGCUAAGGUCGCUAAAGGAAAGCUCAAAGAAGAUGUUGCUCGCAAGUACUUUCAACAGCUAAUCAGCGCAAUCGAUUUCUGCCAUAGCAGAGGCGUUUCUCAUCGAGACUUGAAGCCGGAGAAUCUGUUAUUAGAUGAAAAUGGAGACCUCAAAAUCUCUGAUUUUGGGCUAUCAACCUUGCCGGAACACUUGCGCAACGACGGUCUCCUUCAUACCCAGUGUGGGACUCCAGCUUAUGUGGCGCCUGAGGUUCUGAGAAAGAAGGGAUACGAAGGAUCAAAAGCAGAUAUAUGGUCUUGUGGGGUAAUCCUUUACGUUCUUCUUGCUGGGUUCUUGCCAUUUCAAGAUGAGAAUGUCAUGAAAAUGUACAGAAAAGUUUUCAAAGCAGAAUUUGAGUGUCCACCGUGGUUUUCCAUAGAAGCUAAGCGCUUGAUUUCCAGACUUCUAGUUGCUGACCCAGAAAGAAGAAUCACAAUACCAGCAAUAAUGCGAGUUCCCUGGUUCCGAAAGGAAUUUACAAGACCUCUAGCCUUUUCAGUACAAGAAAUAUCGAACCCAGAAAAAACAGAGGAGGAAGAAGACGAAUCUUUAUCUGCAGUGAUGACUAAAGUUUCCUCCCCAAAAUUCUU